GCAUUGGUGGUUCAGUGGUAGAUUCUCACUUUCCAGGUGUGAAGCCAAGGUUAGAUUCCCAGCCAAUGCA
RNAcentral lists this transfer RNA (70 nucleotides) under Loxodonta africana (African savanna elephant). It matches the Rfam family "tRNA". Rfam says of the family: Transfer RNA (tRNA) molecules are approximately 80 nucleotides in length. Lineage: Eukaryota; Metazoa; Chordata; Mammalia; Proboscidea; Elephantidae. The record is from Rfam by way of RNAcentral.